UCGGUGACAGGUGCUGCAUGGCUGCCGUCAGCUCGUGUCGUGAGAUGUUGGGUUAAGUCCCGCAACGAGCGCAACCCUUGUCAUUAGUUGCUACAUUCAGUUGGGCACUCUAAUGAGACUGCCGGUGACAAACCGGGAGGAAGGUGGGGAUGACGUCAAGUCCUCAUGGCCCUUAUAGGUGGGGCUACACACGUCAUACAAUGGAUGGUACAAAGGGUCGCCAACCCGCGAGGGGGAGCCAAUCCCAUAAAGCCAUUCGUAGUCCGGAUCGCAGUCUGCAACUCGACUGCGUGAAGUCGGAAUCGCUAGUAAUCGUGGAUCAGAAUGUCACGGUGAAUACGUUCCCGGGUCUU
RNAcentral lists this ribosomal RNA (353 nucleotides) under uncultured Polaromonas sp. Its description in RNAcentral is "bacterial SSU rRNA". It matches the Rfam family "Bacterial small subunit ribosomal RNA", at positions 1028 to 1382 of the family's 1533-position model. The record is from RNAcentral. Lineage: Bacteria; Pseudomonadati; Pseudomonadota; Betaproteobacteria; Burkholderiales; Comamonadaceae.